Labrus mixtus (cuckoo wrasse) is the source of this 859-nucleotide long non-coding RNA. RefSeq lists it as uncharacterized. The transcript has 2 exons. NCBI's taxonomy places the organism in Eukaryota, Metazoa, Chordata, Actinopteri, Labriformes, Labridae. The record is from RefSeq and is a predicted model, not a curated record.
GUCUCCAUGGCAACAAGUAAGUCCAGUUUACCUGGAUCUAAAGUCAGGUUGGAUGUUAUGGUACGGUGGCCGGGAGGGGUCCGACUAAUGUCACAUCUACGACAAAACAACAAUCUUCAACAGUUACCAUGGUAACUAUCCAUCAAGCCCUGAUCAGACGGCCGUUCAAAGCGUGACAUGUACGUGUCAGAAACACCGACCACUGAGCGCCCGUUUGUGUUCAUGUGGUCGUGUUGGCGUUCUUCCUGAUAACGCCGGAGUGUGAUUGCAAAGCGAUUUUUAUCCACAGUUUGACACCUCCCGGCCACCGUACCACAAAGUGUUUACCUUUAAACGUUUCACUUUGGCCUUUUUUUAUUCUGAGUUUCAUCUGGGUUUACUUGGUGGAUUCAGUCGCCAUGGAAACGGUCCGUUCCUCGUUCUCUGAAGAUGACAUCAUGUCACAGAAACUCUUUGUCUCCUGAGACUCACCUGGACUAUGAGCAGGUGUGUUGUUUACAGACGGGUGGGGUUUAACAAAGACACACAGCAUGAUGUCAUCCUGCAGAAUGAGCUGCUAUACAUAAACUUUAUGUUAUUUAAAGGACGAUAUAUGAAACAUGAUAACCUGAAAGAAACGCUGAGCAGACACCUGAACACACGACAACAUCUCCUCAUCUGUGUGUCUGCAUGUAAACAGGUAUUGAGUGUGAUUAAUGUGAUAUUUAACAGCCUGAUAUGUUUGUCAUGUGACCACAGAGAGGUUUCUGCUUUUACUCGUCAGAAAAUCCACUUUCUUCCUUCAGUGUGUUGAUGGAUAUAAAACUACAACAUGUUUAGGACUUCUCAGCUUUAUUAAAGCUUUGUUUUGUUUAUAUCA